RNAcentral lists this long non-coding RNA (1838 nucleotides) under Homo sapiens (human). RNAcentral describes it as "non-protein coding lnc-SDR42E2-1:1". The record is from RNAcentral. Lineage: Eukaryota; Metazoa; Chordata; Mammalia; Primates; Hominidae.
CGCGCCUCCGCUCCGCCCCUUGAAUCCUGGUCACGCCCCCGAGCCGCUCUCCAGACCUAGCCCGGACCGCCGACUUCUGGCCACGCCCCUAUCUACUCCCAGACCUUGCCUUGCGCCCUUCCUGUGUUUUGGCCCCGCCCCUGUCCUGUCCCGCCCCGCCCUCCGAAGUGGGCACGCUCCUGCUCCGCCCCCUGAAUCCUGGCCACGUCCCUGGUCGGCCCAGACGCGUAGCCCCGAGUCUCUUUCCAUGUUUUGACCACGCCCUUGACCCGCCCUUCAAAUUGGGCACGCCUUCUUCCCCGCUCACUGAUUUCCUGGCCUAGCCCCUGAGCAGACCUCCAGACCUAGCCCCGCCCCCGUUUUAUAACCCCGCCCCUGCUUCACGGCUUGGGCACGCCUCUUCCCCGCCCCCUGACUUCAGAGCCUAGUCCUGAGCCGCUCUCCAGGCCUAACCCCGCCUUCAUGUCAUAGCCACGCCCCUUCCCGCCCUUCCAUGUUUGGGCACGCCUUCUGAGUCCUGGUCACGCCUCUGUCCCGCCCCCUGAAUCUUUCCUACGUCCAUGACCCUCCCUCCAGGCCCUGGCCCUGCCCCUUUUUUCCUCCCUCCGGCCUGUCCGGUUUCUGAUAUGGGCCAAGGCUCACAGCUUCCUCCGCCUUCUGGACCUUCUCCUAGUCCCUGCCCAGUCCCGGCCCACCCCCAGAUUCUCCCUCAUUCUGGUUUCGCCCCCUUUCUGGUCCUCCCCGCGCGCUUGAGCCCACCCUUUGGCUUCUCCUUUUGGGUCUGUCCUUGCUCCUGCCUCUGGACCCGGUCCCGCCCUUCUCGCGUGUAAUUGAGUCCUGGCCCCGCCCCCUCCCUCUCUGGCUUCACCCCUUUCCAGCUCCGCCUCCCGGGUAGGUUCUCCCCGGAACCAGGCUGCCGCGUCGCUAUGGGCUAACGCAGGCUCGGGUGACGUUGGUAUGAGUUUGCGCCGUCGGCUGCUGCUCUGUCUGGUAACAUUGCAUUCGAUCCACCCCGACCCAAUGUUCUGGGCUUCUCAUUCACACAGAUCUGUGUGUUGACAGCCAGGGUUUGGGGAAAAACCGAGACUCAAGCUUCUGCCGAGCCCGACUUGGCCUUUUUGGGUUCCUGUCUGAGGAUGACAGCAUAGUAAGCACAGGUUUUAGUACCAGAAAGAGCAUGAAAAAUUUAAAAAAAAAAACUCUUAAAAUAAUUGGAUGUCUCGAUGAAGUACCAAUAAAGCUAUAAUGGGAAAAAUAGAGUUUAGUUGGUUAUAUUUUAUGAUUUAGUACUGUUUCUAUUUAUUAAUUAGAGGUAGUGGUAAUCACCAUAAUCUUUAAAGUUUAAGGUCACGAAACUUCUUUAUCUAGCCCUGCUCUCCACAGAAACUUCGCCUCCUAUCAUCUUGGUAUCAGUUAUCAGUUGUAAGUACCAAGACAUCAGUGUGUAAAUACAACCAUGUAUAGAUCAUAAUAUGCACACGUGGGACUGGCAGAGAAGAAAAGCACCACAAGCCUGAGGUGGAUGGGAUCGAAAGGGCUCAUCAGAACCAACAUGGCCACCGCAGUGUGUGUCCCACUCUGCUGAACAAGGUGAGCAGUUUGGGAAGGAGCUAAAAAAAAAUGUAUGCUCCUCUCUGCUAGGCUGAAUUUUAUGUGUGUAUAUAAUUUUUGAAAGAAUAAUAAUCCUAUGUCUGUUUAAUGCUUGACAGUGUAAAAGAGCUUUCAUCUAUGUGAUCUUAUUUAAUUCUUACAGCUACUCUUAAAUAGGGUUUAUUACUCUCCUUUUAUAGAUGACGAAAACUGGGGCUUUGUCUCAUUCCAAAGAGCAGAGGAGGGUG